AACGCGAAGAACCUUACCAAGGUUUGACAUACACCGGAAGCAUCAGAGAUGGUGCCCCCCUUGUGGUCGGUGUACAGGUGGUGCAUGGCUGUCGUCAGCUCGUGUCGUGAGAUGUUGGGUUAAGUCCCGCAACGAGCGCAACCCUUGUUCUGUGUUGCCAGCAUGCCCUUCGGGGUGAUGGGGACUCACAGGAGACCGCCGGGGUCAACUCGGAGGAAGGUGGGGACGACGUCAAGUCAUCAUGCCCCUUAUGUCUUGGGCUGCACACGUGCUACAAUGGCCGGUACAAUGAGCUGCGAUACCGCAAGGUGGAGCGAAUCUCAAAAAGCCGGUCUCAGUUCGGAUUGGGGUCUGCAACUCGACCCCAUGAAGUCGGAGUUGCUAGUAAUCGCAGAUCAGCAUUGCUGCGGUGAAUACGUUCCCGGGCCUUGUACACACCG
This 440-nucleotide ribosomal RNA is filed under the name uncultured bacterium. Its description in RNAcentral is "bacterial SSU rRNA". It matches the Rfam family "Bacterial small subunit ribosomal RNA", at positions 958 to 1392 of the family's 1533-position model. The record is from RNAcentral.